AAAAAUAAUUAAAUAAUCAAAUAUACAAAUAUAACUUAUAAAAAUUGUAAAACAAAAUAAAAGCAAAGUCACACGCACUAGCAAAAGCAAAGUAACAUAACGUCAAGUCACCAACAACUUGUAAAGUCACCCAAAAGCAAAUUAACAUGACGCCAAGUCACCAACAAUUUGCAAACAAAAAACCCUAAGCUUCCUUGCCGUCACACACAUUAGCAACACUCAAUACUGGUUGGAUACACUCUCGACACAGAUUUGAAGGACAUCGGUUGCGCGAUUCCGGCGAGAGCAAGCCAUCUUCCUUCCUAAGUCCAUCCAGCCACUUCACAUUCACGGGUUCCAGCUGAACAAUUUCACUAUCACAACUUCAAGAUCACCACCCGUACGGCUUCCCCUGGUUCCCAUCGUGGACGGUUCCGUAAUCACCACUUUUCGACAGGUGCAACAGCCCUGGUGAAGGAUCAGACUGUGUUUGGUUUCCGAAACAUCGCAAUUUAAAUUAAUUGUGGCUUUAUUUGAACAAUUAAUUUCGGUGUUAUAUUAACGUAUUAUUGUAACUUUAUUUGAACAAUUAAGCUUGAUGUGUUAUAUUUUGAAACUUUGAACGUAUUAUUGUAGCUUUAUUUGAAUAAUUAGUCUCGAUGUGUUAUAUUUUGAAACUUUAAAUGUAUUAUUUUAGUUUUAUUUAAAUAAUUUAUUUAUUU
RNAcentral lists this long non-coding RNA (701 nucleotides) under Citrus x clementina. Its description in RNAcentral is "Citrus clementina (C. clementina) long non-coding RNA (CCLE_LNC004459)". The record is from RNAcentral. Lineage: Eukaryota; Viridiplantae; Streptophyta; Magnoliopsida; Sapindales; Rutaceae.